CCUCACCAGAGUAACAAUUGGAGGGCAAGUCUGGUGCCAGCAGCCGCGGUAAUUCCAGCUCCAAUAGCGUAUAUUAAACUUGUUGCAGUUAAAAAGCUCGUAGUUGAAUUUUUGCGUGGUGUUAAUAUUGACUGAUGUCGAGAUUGCACUUCGCUUUUGGGAUUUUUCCCUUUUUACUUUGAGAAAAUUAGAGUGUUUCAAGCAGACUUUUGUCUUGAAUACUUCAGCAUGGAAUAAUAGAGUAGGACUUUGGUUCUAUUUUGUUGGUUUGUGAACCUUAGUAAUGGUUAAUAGGAACGGUUGGGGGCAUUCGUAUUUAACUGUCAGAGGUGAAAUUCUUAGAUUUGUUAAAGACGAACUACUGCGAAAGCAUUUGCCAAGGACGUUUUCAUUAAUCAAGAACGAAAGUUAGGGGAUCGAAGACGAUCAGAUACCGUCGUAGUCCUAACCAUAAACUAUGCCGACUAGGGAUUGGAGGUCGUCAUUUUUCCGACUCCUUCAGCACCUUGAGAGAAAU
Molecule: ribosomal RNA, 517 nt
Filed under: Babesia capreoli
Lineage: Eukaryota; Apicomplexa; Aconoidasida; Piroplasmida; Babesiidae
Description: SSU rRNA
Rfam family: Eukaryotic small subunit ribosomal RNA
Source: RNAcentral